RNAcentral lists this non-coding RNA (29 nucleotides) under Mus musculus (house mouse). The record is from RNAcentral. Lineage: Eukaryota; Metazoa; Chordata; Mammalia; Rodentia; Muridae.
UGGGUNCGGGUGCUGUGAAGGUAAGCUGA